Molecule: non-coding RNA, 803 nt
Organism: Podarcis muralis (Common wall lizard)
Lineage: Eukaryota; Metazoa; Chordata; Lepidosauria; Squamata; Lacertidae
Source: RefSeq, a predicted model, not a curated record
CGCAACCCCAGAGUUGGUCACGACUGGACCUAAUGGUCAGGGGUACCUUUACCUUUACCUAAUAAGCCAUCCUCAAGAGAGAGACCUUGUUUUCUCUUGCAUGUUUAGCCCAAAUUUCAUUAUGUCCCAAAGCACCAGGGAGUUAUCGGCAUAAGUGAUUUUUAAUGGAUGUAAAUCUCUGUCCUCGUCCCACCUGAGUUAUUGCUACUAAUGCUAUAGAAAUUACAUAGCCAGUGAUAUGGGAUUUUAGACUCAGUUACUAAGAAAUAGCUCCUGGCUACUCUGUUUCUAGUGGACAAGUGUCCACAUCAUAAAAAAAAUUAUGAGUCAUGCUGCUAUGUGAAAUGGCCCUUACUUUAUACUUUGGUAUGGUCUAAGUGCAAUGGACACUAAUGGGCAGUUGGCUAUUCCAAGCAGCUGGAAUCCAAGUCAUGCCCACCUGCUAGGGUGGGCCCGAAACAGCUUUGUCUACGAGAGUAUUGUGAGAAGAGCUGGAAGCAACAGUUUUGUAUUUGGCUGGCAGAGAGAUUACUCAAAUUUGGGAGAGAGGAGAUUCAAUGUUGAAGUCCUACCUAUUUCAAAGGAAAGCAACAGGUCUCAUCACCAGCUGACCAUGUGAGCGAACUUGAAAACAGAGUUUAUCCUUGGAUCAGAAGGCAGUCAGAGCUAUUGGGCCUACAUAGUUUCCUCAGAGGCCAGAUCAAUCCUGGGUAUAUAGGAUUUCUACUGAACUGGGGGACUAGCAAAUCAGAGGAGGAAGGUUCAGGAGAUAUCAUUCUCUAUCUCACUAGUCAUCCAUGGAG